RNAcentral lists this long non-coding RNA (1440 nucleotides) under Oreochromis niloticus (Nile tilapia). Its description in RNAcentral is "lncRNA (ENSONIG00000032154.1)". Lineage: Eukaryota; Metazoa; Chordata; Actinopteri; Cichliformes; Cichlidae. The record is from RNAcentral.
UUCCUGCCAUUGAACGCACAACAAAUACAUGACUCCAACCACAUGACUUUGCUCAGCCAAUCGGAUGGCAUGUAGGUCAUAGUAAGACUGUCCCGGCUUCCUCCCGUCAGAUGCGUGGAGGUAAGCCAGGUGACAGAGCUGUUGCAGACGCUGAUUACUGUGAGCCAGAGCCAUAGUGUUGUUUUGCACUGAACAGAAUGGAAUUGGCCAGGUGAACCUUUUUUGGGUAUUAAAAAGGAUGGCAAGCCAAUGAACGGCAGGACUCAGUCUGCACUGAAGCUAUCAUAGACAACGCUCUGUCCCCAUUUUCCAAACACACUGAUUUCCACAACCAUACACACCAUUCCCCCCGUUUAUGGACAAUAGCGCUUGGACAUCUCUCAUGGACAUUCAGAUUAACUCAUGGACUUCAGUGUGGAUUAGUGGUUUGGAUGUUAACAUGUGUUAUUUAUGGGGAACUGUUUUUUUUUUAUUUGUUUGUUUUGUUUUGUCACAAUUAAUGAAAAUGCGGUGCCGCGGUCGCGCACUCUAAAACGCCGGUAAGCUAAUGCUAGGCUAGUGACUGAAAGUGCAAUUACUAGUUUUAUUUAUCGAAUAUUGUUGUUUUUGUUUAUUUCACUAUGGCCGAAUGUUGGAUUAACGUAUAAAGAGUUGAACGAGUGUUUUGAAGUUUGUAGUUUUGUCCGUUUUGGAUGUUUUUUGUUACUUUUCUGAUUAAAUGCCAAAACGGCCUAUGAGACUUUUGCAUUGAGUUAGAAUCCAUUUAGAUUGAUUGGAUAUGUUGCGCAACACCUGUGAUUAGAUGAGUUUUGUAAAUAUGUUUGAUUAACUUUGGAUAAUGUUUAUUAGCUUUAUUGCUGAUAUACUUUGAUGGGACCCAUGUGAAUGUUUUUUCUAAAUUGGUAUUUUGAAUGAUAUUCAUUAUAAGAGAUGACGACUAUUGGUUUAUUGAUUGUUGUAUAAAACAUGGCAUUAAUUAUUUGACUUUAUUUAUGGAUUUAUUUAUUUAUUUUGUCAGAGCAGUAGAAUGCUGUUUCAUUUUCUUCUGUGAAUGAUGAUUUAUGUUUUUGACCUUGUUUAGGUCAGGGUUUUUUUCCCCCGCGAUCAGCCCUGAUCAGCGCGGGAUGGCGAGCCACCCGACCACCGCUACGUUGCGGUAGGAAUCGUAAACCUAUGGACUGAACUAAACUAUUGACACAUGACCUAUCACAGGUCCAUGGAACUACACUAAAUUUCAUACUGGACUAAACCUCAUCCCACCUCCUUUUGGAACUUAAUAAGCUGUUUUGUAUUGUCACCAUCAUUAUUGUUUGUGAUAUAUAUGCAUAUUUUUUUUUUUUUUGUACAUCUGUCUAUAUAAUUCUCAUAACAAACAUAAUAUAUAUAUUUUUGAGCUCUAUUUUUGUUUCCUGUGUUUUAUUCACACACUCAGGCUCCAUA